GCCGACGUAGCUCAGCUGGUAGAGCAUUUCCAUGGUAAGGAAAAGGUCACCGGUUCAAUCCCGGUCGUCGGCUCCA
Molecule: transfer RNA, 76 nt
Filed under: Candidatus Uhrbacteria bacterium RIFCSPHIGHO2_02_FULL_60_10
Lineage: Bacteria; Candidatus Uhriibacteriota
Also listed under: 1 other name
Description: tRNA-Thr
Rfam family: tRNA
About the family: Transfer RNA (tRNA) molecules are approximately 80 nucleotides in length. Their secondary structure includes four short double-helical elements and three loops (D, anti-codon, and T loops).
Source: RNAcentral